RNAcentral lists this ribosomal RNA (253 nucleotides) under uncultured bacterium. RNAcentral's name for it is "partial 16S ribosomal RNA". It matches the Rfam family "Bacterial small subunit ribosomal RNA", at positions 524 to 776 of the family's 1533-position model. The record is from RNAcentral.
CACGGGGGGAGCAAGCGUUGUUCGGAAUCACUGGGCGUAAAGGGCGUGUAGGCGGUCAGGUUAGUGAGAUGUGAAAUGCCCCGGCUCACCCGGGGACCUGCAUCUCAAACUGCUUGGCUUGAGUAUGGGAGAGGAUGAGGGAAUUCCUGGUGUAGCGGUGAAAUGCGUAGAUAUCAGGAGGAACACCGGUGGCGAAAGCGCUCAUCUGGCCCAAUACUGACGCUGAGGCGCGAAAGCUAGGGGAGCAAACGGG